GUGUGUAGCUCAGUUGGAUAGAGCGUUUGGCUACGAACCAAAAGGUCGGGGGUUCGAAUCCCUCCACG
RNAcentral lists this transfer RNA (68 nucleotides) under human gut metagenome. It matches the Rfam family "tRNA", at positions 5 to 66 of the family's 71-position model. Rfam says of the family: Transfer RNA (tRNA) molecules are approximately 80 nucleotides in length. Their secondary structure includes four short double-helical elements and three loops (D, anti-codon, and T loops). The record is from RNAcentral. RNAcentral also lists the same sequence under 1 other name.